GGGCAGCAUUGACAGAAACCAGAGAGCUGUAAAUGCCACACUGGGGUGGCUGGGCCACAUGUGCUAUUAACCAGACAGUCUUGUUCCAUGUCUGGAGUCUGAGCACAUUUUAGGCCCUGGUGGCUGGGCAGCACCCUGUGGGGACCGUUAACCACUUAGCUGAGACCCGUUGAGCAGAUGCCUCUGAAAUCUAUGCUGGUUUGAACCCCCCCUGGGGUAUUUUGUGCUCUUAGGGACACCAUAGUAAUUGAUGUAAUAUGCCUAAGAUGGACUGAAACUGUCUGAUAUUGGAAUAAAUUUAGCCUCACUGGUAAUAAAAGAUAAGUGCAUGAAAACAAGAUGUCAUUUUACUAUAAUUUUCCCUGGCCAUUUUAUUAUAAUUUUUAGAUUGGCCAAGGUUAAGAAAGAUGACAGCUCUGUGGGCUAGAGGGUGGAGAGACAAGCCCUCUCCUACACUGGUGAGGGGUGCCAGGAUUCUGUAGCAACACCUUUGAGUGAGCAUAACCUUGGACUCAAACAAUUUUCCUUACAGGCAAUAACCUACGAAAUACUGGGAUAUACGCACAAAGAUCCAUGUGCCAGGAUAUGUGUUGGAGGAUUUAUAUUUGGAGAAAAUUAAAUGCGCAAUGAGAGGUGCUGUUAUUAUUCCCACUUUACAGAGGGGAAGGCUGAAGCUCAAAGAAGCAAGGCAACUCUCAGGGGUCACAGAAGUGAUAAACUGAGGAGUUGGAAUUCCAGAGUCCAAGCUGGUGACGAGCACCGUGAACUCCUCUUCUCUGGCCACCACUCUACUCUACAACAAAGUCUAUAAAUUAUGGCCAUGGCCAGAUCCAGCUCGCCACCUGUUUCUCUGCUGUUCCCAAGGAAGUACGGGACGGAAAUUAAAGAAGAAAGUGGUUCCACAGGUUUGGUGGCUACAAAAAGAUUUCCUCGAUAAACACUGCCCACAGUCACUCAUUUGUGAAAGCUGCAUGAUGUGAAAUUAAACUCGGGCAGAGGUGCUGUGGGUGAUGAUGUCUCGGUGGCUUGGGGAAAUGAAAGCCAUUCAUCUCAGGCAAAUGUGACAGGCAGGACCAUUGGCUUUCCGUCACCUAUGGGCUGCCUUCUCAUGGCAGUGGCCUAUGCAGGCCUUACGUUUUUGCAGCAAAUUUGUAAUGAACCAAUCAGUGGCCUUCAUGUCAGGCAAUCUAGGAAGGUUUUGGAAGUGGGACUACUUGCCCCAC
This 1223-nucleotide long non-coding RNA is filed under the name Homo sapiens (human). RNAcentral's name for it is "HSALNT0401733". Lineage: Eukaryota; Metazoa; Chordata; Mammalia; Primates; Hominidae. The record is from RNAcentral.